Molecule: transfer RNA, 67 nt
Filed under: Trichonephila clavata
Lineage: Eukaryota; Metazoa; Arthropoda; Arachnida; Araneae; Nephilidae
Description: tRNA-Arg
Rfam family: tRNA (bases 3-62)
About the family: Transfer RNA (tRNA) molecules are approximately 80 nucleotides in length. Their secondary structure includes four short double-helical elements and three loops (D, anti-codon, and T loops).
Source: RNAcentral
CUGUAGCGCUAUAGAUAGCGUGUUGGACUUCUAAUCCUAAGGUCUUGGGUUCGAAUCCCACCUUUGA